This 485-nucleotide ribosomal RNA is filed under the name uncultured bacterium. Its description in RNAcentral is "bacterial SSU rRNA". It matches the Rfam family "Bacterial small subunit ribosomal RNA", at positions 29 to 507 of the family's 1533-position model. The record is from RNAcentral.
AUGAACGCUAGCGGCAGGCUUAACACAUGCAAGUCGAGGGGCAGCACGGGUAGCAAUACCUGGUGGCGACCGGCGCAAGGGUGCGUAACGCGUGAGCAACAUGCCCUAUACAGGGGGAUAAUCCAGGGGAAAACUUGGUCUAAUAUCCCAUAGCAUUUAGAGGAGGCAUCUUCACUAAAUUAAAGCUUCGGUGGUAUAGGAUUGGCUCGCGUGACAUUAGCUAGAUGGUGAGGUAACGGCCCACCAUGGCUAUGAUGUCUAGGGGUUCUGAGAGGAAGACCCCCCACACUGGGACUGAGACACGGCCCAGACUCCUACGGGAGGCAGCAGUGAGGAAUAUUGGACAAUGGAUGGAAAUCUGAUCCAGCCAUGCCGCGUGCAGGAAGACGGCCCUAUGGGUUGUAAACUGCUUUUAUAUGGGAGCAAUAAGGUUUACGAGUAGACCGAUGAGAGUACCAUAUGAAUAAGCAUCGGCUAACUCCGUG